ACCAGGGCCCAUAGGGAACAGGAAAGGGUAGAGAUAGGAGGAGAGAGAUAUAGGAGAGGGUAGAGGUAGAGGUAGGAGGAGAGGGUAGAGAUAAGAUGAGAGGGUAGGGGUAGAGGUAGGAGAGGGUAGAUGUAGAGGUAGGAGGAGAGUGUAGAGGUAGGAGUAGGAGGAGAGGGUAGAUGUAGAAGUAGGAGGAGAGGGUAGGGGUGGAUGUAGGAGGAGAGGGUAGAGGUAGAGGUAGGAGGAGAGGGUAGAGGUAGGAGGAGAGGGUAGAGGUAGGAAGAGAGGGUAGAGGUAGAGGUAGGAGGAGAGGGUAGGGGUAGGAGGAGAGGGUAGGGGUAGGAGGAGAGGGUAGAGGGAGGAGAGGGUAGAGGUAGGAGGAGAGUGUAGAGGUAGAGGUAGGAGGAGAGGCCCAUUGGGAACAGGAUGUUGUUUGAGACACAGUGGCUGUUCAGGGCAAGGACCAUGUACUGUACAUGUGGUGCACUCAGCCCCUUAUUGGUCAGGUUGGACUGUACUCAGCCCCUGAUUGGUCAGGUUGGACUGUACUCAGCCCCUGAUUGGUCAGGUUGGACUGUACUCACCCCUUGAUUGGGCAGGUUGGACUAUACUCACCCCUUGAUUGGGCAGGUUGGACUGUACUCACCCCUUGAUUGGGCAGGUUGGACUGUACUCACCCCUUGAUUGGGCAGGUUGGACUGUACUCACCCCCUGAUUGGGCAGGUUGGACUGUACUCACCCCCUGAUUGGGCAGGUUGGAUUGUACUUAGCCCCUGAUUGGGCAGGUUGGACUAUACUCAACCCCUGAUUGGGCAGGUUGGACUGUACUCACCCCUUGAUUGGGCAGGUUGGACUGUACUCAACCCCUGAUUGGGCAGGUUGGACUGUACUCACCCCUUGAUUGGGCAGGUUGGACUGUACUCACCCCUUGAUUGGGCAGGUUGGACUGUACUCAACCCCUGAUUGGGCAGGUUGGACUGUACUCACCCCCUGAUUGGUCAGUUUGGACUGUACUCACCCCCUGAUUGGUCAGGUUGGACUAUACUCAACCCCUGAUUGGGCAGGUUGGACUGUACUCACCCCCUGAUUGGUCAGGUUGGACUAUACUCAACCCCUGAUUGGG
Molecule: long non-coding RNA, 1123 nt
Organism: Oncorhynchus keta (chum salmon)
Lineage: Eukaryota; Metazoa; Chordata; Actinopteri; Salmoniformes; Salmonidae
Exons: 6
Source: RefSeq, a predicted model, not a curated record